This 279-nucleotide ribosomal RNA is filed under the name uncultured bacterium. RNAcentral's name for it is "partial 16S ribosomal RNA". It matches the Rfam family "Bacterial small subunit ribosomal RNA", at positions 506 to 784 of the family's 1533-position model. The record is from RNAcentral.
UGCCAGCAGCCGCGGUAAGACGUAGGGGGCCAGCGUUGUUCGGAAUUACUGGGUGUAAAGGGUUCGUAGGCGGUGCGGCAAGUUGGGAGUGAAAUCUCUGGGCUUAACCCAGAGGCUGCUUCCAAAACUGCUGUGCUUGAGUGUGAGAGAGGCUCGUGGAAUUGCAGGUGUAGCGGUGAAAUGCGUAGAUAUCUGCAGGAACACCCGUGGCGAAAGCGGCGAGCUGGAUCACAACUGACGCUGAGGAACGAAAGCUAGGGGAGCAAACAGGAUUAGAUA